RNAcentral lists this ribosomal RNA (253 nucleotides) under uncultured bacterium. Its description in RNAcentral is "partial 16S ribosomal RNA". It matches the Rfam family "Bacterial small subunit ribosomal RNA", at positions 524 to 776 of the family's 1533-position model. The record is from RNAcentral.
UACGGGGGGGGCAAGCGUUGUUCGGAAUUACUGGGCGUAAAGGGCGCGUAGGCGGCCUUCUAAGUCAGACGUGAAAUCCCUCGGCUCAACCGAGGAACUGCGUCUGAUACUGGAAGGCUUGAAUCCGGGAGAGGGAUGUGGAAUUCCAGGUGUAGCGGUGAAAUGCGUAGAUAUCUGGAGGAACACCGGUGGCGAAGGCGGCUCACUGGCCCGAUACUGACGCUGAGGCACGAAAGCGUGGGGAGCAAACAGG